CACGCCGUAAACGAUGGAUACUAGGUGUGGGAGGUAUCGACCCCUUCCGUGCCGUCGUAAACACAAUAAGUAUCCCACCUGGGGAGUACGGCCGCAAGGCUGAAACUCAAAGGAAUUGACGGGGGCCCGCACAAGCAGUGGAGUAUGUGGUUUAAUUCGAUGCAACGCGAAGAACCUUACCGGGGCUUGACAUCCCGCGAUUGCCCGAGAGAUCGGGAGUUCCCUUUUAGGGACGCGGAGACAGGUGG
RNAcentral lists this ribosomal RNA (248 nucleotides) under uncultured Eubacteriales bacterium. RNAcentral describes it as "uncultured Clostridiales bacterium partial 16S ribosomal RNA". It matches the Rfam family "Bacterial small subunit ribosomal RNA", at positions 796 to 1041 of the family's 1533-position model. Lineage: Bacteria; Bacillati; Bacillota; Clostridia; Eubacteriales. The record is from RNAcentral.